Molecule: ribosomal RNA, 585 nt
Filed under: uncultured bacterium
Lineage: Bacteria
Description: partial 16S ribosomal RNA
Rfam family: Bacterial small subunit ribosomal RNA
Source: RNAcentral
UGGGGAAUUUUGGACAAUGGGCGAAAGCCUGAUCCAGCAAUGCCGCGUGUGUGAAGAAGGCCUUCGGGUUGUAAAGCACUUUUGUCCGGAAAGAAAUCCUUGGCUCUAAUACAGUCGGGGGAUGACGGUACCGGAAGAAUAAGCACCGGCUAACUACGUGCCAGCAGCCGCGGUAAUACGUAGGGUGCAAGCGUUAAUCGGAAUUACUGGGCGUAAAGCGUGCGCAGGCGGUUUGCUAAGACCGAUGUGAAAUCCCCGGGCUCAACCUGGGAACUGCAUUGGUGACUGGCAGGCUAGAGUAUGGCAGAGGGGGGUAGAAUUCCACGUGUAGCAGUGAAAUGCGUAGAGAUGUGGAGGAAUACCGAUGGCGAAGGCAGCCCCCUGGGCCAAUACUGACGCUCAUGCACGAAAGCGUGGGGAGCAAACAGGAUUAGAUACCCUGGUAGUCCACGCCCUAAACGAUGUCAACUAGUUGCUGGGGAUUCAUUUCCUUAGUAACGUAGCUAACGCGUGAAGUUGACCGCCUGGGGAGUACGGUCGCAAGAUUAAAACUCAAAGGAAUUGACGGGGUCAUAGCUGUUUCCU